RNAcentral lists this ribosomal RNA (554 nucleotides) under uncultured bacterium. RNAcentral describes it as "partial 16S ribosomal RNA". It matches the Rfam family "Bacterial small subunit ribosomal RNA", at positions 355 to 902 of the family's 1533-position model. The record is from RNAcentral.
UGGGGAAUUUUGGACAAUGGGCGCAAGCCUGAUCCAGCCAUGCCGCGUGCGGGAAGAAGGCCUUCGGGUUGUAAACCGCUUUUGUCAGGGAAGAAAUCUUCUGAGUUAAUACCUCGGGAGGAUGACGGUACCUGAAGAAUAAGCACCGGCUAACUACGUGCCAGCAGCCGCGGUAAUACGUAGGGUGCAAGCGUUAAUCGGAAUUACUGGGCGUAAAGCGUGCGCAGGCGGUUUUGUAAGACAGAGGUGAAAUCCCCGGGCUCAACCUGGGAACUGCCUUUGUGACUGCAAGGCUUGAGUGCGGCAGAGGGGGAUGGAAUUCCGCGUGUAGCAGUGAAAUGCGUAGAUAUGCGGAGGAACACCGAUGGCGAAGGCAAUCCCCUGGGCCUGCACUGACGCUCAUGCACGAAAGCGUGGGGAGCAAACAGGAUUAGAUACCCUGGUAGUCCACGCCCUAAACGAUGUCAACUGGUUGUUGGGAAGGUUCCUUCUCAGUAACGUAGCUAACGCGUGAAGUUGACCGCCUGGGGAGUACGGCCGCAAGGUUGAAACUC